Styela clava is the source of this 907-nucleotide non-coding RNA. NCBI's taxonomy places the organism in Eukaryota, Metazoa, Chordata, Ascidiacea, Stolidobranchia, Styelidae. The record is from RefSeq and is a predicted model, not a curated record.
GACAAAAACUGUUAUAAAACAAAACCCAGUUACUUCAUAGCCGAUCAGGAAAUAUUGGACAUAGUUACCAGUUCAGAAGAGUGUAGACAGUAUAUAAAAUUUAGAUGUUUUGGUGUAGUUUUAACAUUCGGGUCUUGGAUUGCUCGCGAUGGAGAAGUCAUGACAUACUGGGGAGGAUCGACAUCAAGAAGAGCUGGGUAUUGCGCUUGUGGAGAAACAAACUCGUGUGAACCAAAUCAUUUAGGCAAUCGAGGAAAAUGCAACUGUGACAAUAAUCAAUUGCUGCUUACCCAAGACGAAGGGUAUUUGACUGAUAAAACCAAACUACCAGUUCAGGAACUUCGAUUUGGUGACAUGGGGGGGACACCUGAAACUGCCAGUAUCAGUCUUGGAAAACUGGAAUGUAUGGGUUAAAAAAGAAACCUUACAAAAUGACCUGUUUACUUUUAAUCUUAUGCUCAUGCUAAAUAGUUGCAAACACUUCUUUUUAAAUCUUCAAUUUUGGGUGAUUUAAGCGGUUAUAAUACUAUAGCUGUUAUAUAAUACAUAAACUACAUUUAAAUAAGUAAUUGUUUCAUUAGAGUUGUUGAUGAUUGCACAAUAGUCUACUCUGAUUUUUCGUUAAAUUGUUGUUAAGGAGACCGCUUUUUUUGAGAAGAGACUUUUUUUAUUGCCCCUCAAUUAAAUCAAUAAUCAAUUGCCCGAUUUUUGAUUUCUAAUAGUUGAAAGUGGAUGAAUGUCUAUCAAUUUAAAUUUUUCAAUUUCAAACUCCCAGGAUAUAUUCAAUACAAAACUUUGUUGUUCCAUCUUAGUACAUAGUAAAACCUUUCACAAUACUAGAAAAUUUUAUUUGUCUCGCCUGUUCUCCCAAAUUUUCAGUAUAUUCGGUCUCAGUUAAGAUCCCACU